ACUGCUCAGUAACACGUGGACAACCUGCCCUUAGGACGGGGAUAAACCCGGGAAACUGGGUAUAAUACCCGAUAGGUCUCGAUUGCUGGAAUGCAUCGAGAUUUAAAGCUCCGGCGCCUAAGGAUGGGUCUGCGGCCUAUCAGGUAGUAGUGGGUGUAGCGUACCUACUAGCCUACGACGGGUACGGGUUGUGAGAGCAAGAGCCCGGAGAUGGAUUCUGAGACACGAAUCCAGGCCCUACGGGGUGCAGCAGGCGCGAAAACUUUACAAUGCUGGCAACAGCGAUAAGGGAACCUCGAGUGCCAGGUUACAAAUCUGGCUGUCGAGAUGCCUAAAAAGCAUUUCACAGCAAGGGCCGGGCAAGACCGGUGCCAGCCGCCGCGGUAACACCGGCGGCUCGAGUGGUAACCGUUAUUAUUGGGUCUAAAGGGUCUGUAGCCGGCCGGAUAAGUCUCUUGAGAAAUCUGGCAGCUUAACUGUCAGGCUUUCAGGAGAUACUGUCUGGCUCGAGGCCGGGAGAGGUGAGAGGUACUUCAGGGGUAGGGGUGAAAUCUUGUAAUCCUUGAAGGACCACCAGUGGCGAAGGCGUCUCACCAGAACGGACCUGACGGCAAGGGACGAAAGCUAGGGGCACGAACCGGAUUAGAUACCCGGGUAGUCCUAGCCGUAAACGAUACUCGCUAGGUGUCGGCCACGGUGCGACCGUUGUCGGUGCCGUAGGGAAGCCGUGAAGCGAGCCACCUGGGAAGUACGGCCGCAAGGCUGAAACUUAAAGGAAUUGGCGGGGGAGCAC
This 793-nucleotide ribosomal RNA is filed under the name uncultured archaeon. Its description in RNAcentral is "bacterial SSU rRNA". It matches the Rfam family "Archaeal small subunit ribosomal RNA", at positions 85 to 879 of the family's 1478-position model. The record is from RNAcentral.